UGUGAAACUCAAAGGAAUUGACGGGGGCCCGCACAAGCGGUGGAGUAUGUGGUUUAAUUCGAAGCAACGCGAAGAACCUUACCAGGCUUUGACAUGGAUAUAAAUGUUCUAGAGAUAGAAAGAUAGCUAUAUAUCACACAGGUGGUGCAUGGUUGUCGUCAGCUCGUGUCGUGAGAUGUUGGGUUAAGUCCCGCAACGAGCGCAACCCUUGUCUUCUGUUACCAGCAUUAAGUUGGGGACUCAGGAGAGACUGCCGGUGACAAACCGGAGGAAGGUGGGGAUGACGUCAAAUCAUCAUGCCCCUUAUGGCCUGGGCUACACACGUACUACAAUGGCGCCUACAAAGAGCAGCGACACCGCGAGGUGGAGCGAAUCUCAUAAAGGGCGUCUCAGUUCGGAUUGAAGUCUGCAACUCGACUUCAUGAAGUCGGAGUCGCUAGUAAUCGCAGAUCAGCAUGCUGCGGUGAAUACGUUCUCGGGCCUUGUACACACCGCCCGUC
Molecule: ribosomal RNA, 500 nt
Filed under: uncultured bacterium
Lineage: Bacteria
Description: bacterial SSU rRNA
Rfam family: Bacterial small subunit ribosomal RNA
Source: RNAcentral